Sarcophilus harrisii (Tasmanian devil) is the source of this 123-nucleotide small nuclear RNA. The record is from Ensembl. Lineage: Eukaryota; Metazoa; Chordata; Mammalia; Dasyuromorphia; Dasyuridae.
AUGUUGUAUGAAAGGAAAGAAAGUUAGCAAUCCCCUUGAGGAUGGAAGAGAUCCUAGUGGUUUUUACAACACAUAUAUAGUUAAGGCAUUAUCACCUGCUCUGUGGCAUCUAACCAUGUUUAA